This 191-nucleotide ribosomal RNA is filed under the name uncultured bacterium. RNAcentral's name for it is "partial 16S ribosomal RNA". It matches the Rfam family "Bacterial small subunit ribosomal RNA", at positions 1310 to 1500 of the family's 1533-position model. The record is from RNAcentral.
ACUCGCCUGCAUGAAGUCGGAAUUGCUAGUAAUCGCAGAUCAGCAUGCUGCGGUGAAUACGUUCCCGGGCCUUGUACACACCGCCCGUCACACCAUGGGAGUCGGUAACACCCGAAGUCGGUAGCCUAACCGUAAGGAGGGCGCCGCCGAAGGUGGGAUUGAUGACUGGAGUGAAGUCGUAACAAGGUAAC